RNAcentral lists this ribosomal RNA (244 nucleotides) under uncultured bacterium. Its description in RNAcentral is "partial small subunit ribosomal RNA". It matches the Rfam family "Bacterial small subunit ribosomal RNA", at positions 26 to 285 of the family's 1533-position model. The record is from RNAcentral.
AGAAUCAACGCUGGCGGCGUGCCUAACACAUGCAAGUCGAACGAGAAAGUGGAGCAAUCCAUGAGUAAAGUGGCGCACGGGUGAGUAACACGUGACUAACCUACCCUUGAGUGGGGAAUAACUGAGGGAAACCUUAGCUAAUACCGCAUAACACCUACGGGUCAAAGGAGCAAUUCGCUUAAGGAGGGGGUCGCGGCAGAUUAGCUAGUUGGCGGGGUAAUGGCCCACAAGGCAGUGAUCUGUA